This 1490-nucleotide ribosomal RNA is filed under the name synthetic construct. RNAcentral describes it as "bacterial SSU rRNA". It matches the Rfam family "Bacterial small subunit ribosomal RNA". RNAcentral also lists the same sequence under 2 other names. The record is from RNAcentral.
AGAGUUUGAUUCUGGCUCAGGACGAACGCUGGCGGCGUGCUUAACACAUGCAAGUCGAACGGGAGGAAAAGAGAAGCUUGCUUCUUUUUGAAUCUAGUGGCAAACGGGUGAGUAACACGUAAACAACCUGCCUUCAGGAUGGGGACAACAGACGGAAACGACUGCUAAUACCGAAUGUGUUCCGGAGACCGCAUGAUUUCCGGAAGAAAGGAUGGCCUCUAUUUAUAAGCUAUCGCCUGAAGAGGGGUUUGCGUCUGAUUAGGCAGUUGGUGAGGUAACGGCCCACCAAACCUACGAUCAGUAGCCGGUCUGAGAGGAUGAACGGCCACACUGGAACUGAGACACGGUCCAGACUCCUACGGGAGGCAGCAGUGGGGAAUCUUCCGCAAUGGACGAAAGUCUGACGGAGCAACGCCGCGUGAGUGAUGACGGCCUUCGGGUUGUAAAGCUCUGUGAUUCGGGGACGAAUGGCUGGUAUGCUAAUACCAUAUCAGAGUGACGGUACCCGAAUAGCAAGCCACGGCUAACUACGUGCCAGCAGCCGCGGUAAUACGUAGGUGGCAAGCGUUGUCCGGAAUUAUUGGGCGUAAAGCGCGCGCAGGCGGCUUCUUAAGUCCAUCUUAAAAGUGCGGGGCUUAACCCCGUGAUGGGAUGGAAACUGUCAAUCUAGAGUACCGGAGAGGUAAGCGGAAUUCCUAGUGUAGCGGUGAAAUGCGUAGAUAUUAGGAGGAACACCAGUGGCGAAGGCGGCUUACUGGACGGUAACUGACGUUGAGGCUCGAAAGCGUGGGGAGCAAACAGGAUUAGAUACCCUGGUAGUCCACGCCGUAAACGAUGACUACUAGGUGUCGGGCAGCAAAGCUGUUCGGUGCCGCAGCAAACGCAAUAAGUAGUCCACCUGGGGAGUACGUUCGCCAGAAUUAAACUCAAAGGAAUUGACGGGGACCCGCACAAGCGGUGGAGCAUGUGGUUUAAUUCGAAGCAACGCGAAGAACCUUACCUGCUCUUGACAUCUCCCUGACCGGCAAGUAAUGUUGCCUUUCCUUCGGGACAGGGAUGACAGGUGGUGCAUGGUUGUCGUCAGCUCGUGUCGUGAGAUGUUGGGUUAAGUCCCGCAACGAGCGCAACCCCUAUCUUUAGUAGCCAGCGGUUCGGCCGGGCACUCUAGAGAGACUGCCAGGGAUAACCUGGAGGAAGGUGGGGAUGACGUCAAAUCAUCAUGCCCCUUAUGAGCAGGGCUACACACGUGCUACAAUGGCGUAAACAAAGGGAGGCAGAACCGCGAGGUCGAGCAAAUCCCAAAAAUAACGUCUCAGUUCGGAUUGUAGUCUGCAACUCGACUACAUGAAGCUGGAAUCGCUAGUAAUCGCGAAUCAGAAUGUCGCGGUGAAUACGUUCCCGGGUCUUGUACACACCGCCCGUCACACCAUGGGAGUCAGUAACGCCCGAAGUCAGUGACCCAACCGUAAGGAGGGAGCUGCCGAAGGUGG